This 373-nucleotide ribosomal RNA is filed under the name uncultured organism. Its description in RNAcentral is "partial 16S ribosomal RNA". It matches the Rfam family "Bacterial small subunit ribosomal RNA", at positions 527 to 896 of the family's 1533-position model. The record is from RNAcentral.
GUAGGUGGCAAGCGUUGUCCGGAAUUAUUGGGCGUAGAGCGCGCGCAGGUGGUUCUUUAAGUCUGAUGUGAAAGCCCCCGGCUCAACCGGGGAGGGUCAUUGGAAACUGGGGAACUUGAGUGCAGGAGAGGAAAGUGGAAUUCCACGUGUAGCGGUGAAAUGCGUAGAUAUGUGGAGGAACGCCAGUGGCGAAGGCGACUUUCUGGCCUGUAACUGACACUGAGGCGCGAAAGCGUGGGGAGCAAACAGGGAUUAGAUACCCUGGUAGUCCACGCCGUAAACGAUGAGUGCUAAGUGUUGGGGGGGUUUCCCGCCCCUCAGUGCUGCAGCUAACGCAUUAAGCACUCCGCCUGGGGAUACGGUCGCAAGACUG